RNAcentral lists this ribosomal RNA (1246 nucleotides) under Staphylococcus sp. RNAcentral's name for it is "bacterial SSU rRNA". It matches the Rfam family "Bacterial small subunit ribosomal RNA", at positions 261 to 1506 of the family's 1533-position model. Lineage: Bacteria; Bacillati; Bacillota; Bacilli; Caryophanales; Staphylococcaceae. The record is from RNAcentral.
AGUCACACCGCAUGUGCCGUUAGCCGAACUGAGGAGGGUGAUCGGCACAAGGACUGAGAACCGUCAGAAUUCUUACCGGAGGCAGCAGUAGAAUCUCGCAAUUGGGCGAAGCUGACCGAGGCAACGCCCGCGUGAGUGAAGAAGUUCUUCGGAUCGUUAAAACUCUGUAUUAGGAGAACAAAUGUGGUUAAGUAACUAUGCACGUCUUGACGGUACUAAUCAGAAAGCCACGGCUAACUACGUGCCAGCAGCCGCGGUAAUACGUAGGUGGCAAGCGUUAUCCGGGAAUUAUUGGGCGUAAAGCGCGCGUAGGCGGUUUUUUAAGUCUGAUGUGAAAGCCCACGGCUCAACCGUGGAGGGUCAUUGGAAACUGGAAAACUUGAGUGCAGAAGAGGAAAGUGGAAUUCCAUGUGUAGCGGUGAAAUGCGCAGAGAUAUGGAGGAACACCAGUGGCGAAGGCGACUUUCUGGUCUGUAACUGACGCUGAUGUGCGAAAGCGUGGGGAUCAAACAGGAUUAGAUACCCUGGUAGUCCACGCCGUAAACGAUGAGUGCUAAGUGUUAGGGGGUUUCCGCCCCUUAGUGCUGCAGCUAACGCAUUAAGCACUCCGCCUGGGGAGUACGACCGCAAGGUUGAAACUCAAAGGAAUUGACGGGGACCCGCACAAGCGGUGGAGCAUGUGGUUUAAUUCGAAGCAACGCGAAGAACCUUACCAAAUCUUGACAUCCUCUGACCCCUCUAGAGAUAGAGUUUUCCCCUUCGGGGGACAGAGUGACAGGUGGUGCAUGGUUGUCGUCAGCUCGUGUCGUGAGAUGUUGGGUUAAGUCCCGCAACGAGCGCAACCCUUAAGCUUAGUUGCCAUCAUUAAGUUGGGCACUCUAAGUUGACUGCCGGUGACAAACCGGAGGAAGGUGGGGAUGACGUCAAAUCAUCAUGCCCCUUAUGAUUUGGGCUACACACGUGCUACAAUGGACAAUACAAAGGGUAGCAAAACCGCGAGGUCAAGCAAAUCCCAUAAAGUUGUUCUCAGUUCGGAUUGUAGUCUGCAACUCGACUACAUGAAGCUGGAAUCGCUAGUAAUCGUAGAUCAGCAUGCUACGGUGAAUACGUUCCCGGGUCUUGUACACACCGCCCGUCACACCACGAGAGUUUGUAACACCCGAAGCCGGUGGAGUAACCUUUUGGAGCUAGCCGUCGAAGGUGGGACAAAUGAUUGGGGUGAAGUCGUAAUCAUAGAAACAACCCG